AGAACGAACGCUGGCGGCAUGCCUAAUACAUGCAAGUCGAACGAACACUUCGGUGUUAGUGGCGCACGGGUGCGUAACGCGUGGGAAUCUGCCCUUGGGUUCGGAAUAACAGUUGGAAACGACUGCUAAUACCGGAUGAUAUCGAAAGAUCAAAGAUUUAAUCGCCCAGGGAUGAGCCCGCGUAGGAUUAGCUAGUUGGUGAGGUAAAGCUCACCAAAGGCGACGAUCCUUAGCUGGUCUGAGAGGAUGAUCAGCCACGACUGGGACUGAGACACGGCCCAGACUCCAGGGAGCAGCAGUAGGAUAUGGACAAUGGCGCAAGCUGAUCCAGCAAUGCGCGUGAGUGA
RNAcentral lists this ribosomal RNA (347 nucleotides) under uncultured soil bacterium. RNAcentral's name for it is "bacterial SSU rRNA". It matches the Rfam family "Bacterial small subunit ribosomal RNA", at positions 26 to 408 of the family's 1533-position model. The record is from RNAcentral.